RNAcentral lists this non-coding RNA (21 nucleotides) under Arabidopsis thaliana (thale cress). Lineage: Eukaryota; Viridiplantae; Streptophyta; Magnoliopsida; Brassicales; Brassicaceae. The record is from RNAcentral.
CUGAGUUUUUCCGGCGGUGAA